Long non-coding RNA from Nymphaea colorata (pocket water lily), 433 nucleotides. RefSeq lists it as uncharacterized. The record is from RefSeq and is a predicted model, not a curated record. The transcript has 4 exons. NCBI's taxonomy places the organism in Eukaryota, Viridiplantae, Streptophyta, Magnoliopsida, Nymphaeales, Nymphaeaceae.
GUUCAAACUUGGCACAGAGGAACAAGUGGUGAAAGAAGGCGCAGGGGCGGCAGAGGUGAAGAGUGGCGCUAGGGGAAUACGACUUUCUCCUCAUACCAGCCAAUAGAAAGGGUUGAAGGCCAUGACAACAUAUAACCUUGGUCGUAUGGGAAUCAGUUGAGCAUUGGGGUGGCUGAUGGGGACACUAUAGCAGCUAGGACUCUAAAAGAAGGGUAACCAGGCACCUCGAGUAGACCUUGAGCAUCAAGAUUCAGAGCUCGAUGUGAUAUUGGGGUGUUUGUAGCGAUGUGCGAUAGGAUCAGAGCAUAGGGGUGAUGAUUCGUGAAGGAUAAGAAUUCUAAAGCCUUUACUAUUUUCAAUAGUAUUAAUAAGGCAAUAGCAGCCAGCAGCAAUAAGGAUGUGGAAGAUUAUGGCAUGCAUGAUUAAGUCAUCC